GACGGAAGGUGCAAGCGUUGCUCGGAAUCACUGGGCGUAAAGGGUGCGUAGGCGGUUUGUCGCGUCUGCCGUGAAAGUCCGGGGCUCAACUCCGGAUCUGCGGUGGGUACGGGCAGACUAGAGUGAUGUAGGGGAGACUGGAAUUCCUGGUGUAGCGGUGAAAUGCGCAGAUAUCAGGAGGAACACCGAUGGCGAAGGCAGGUCUCUGGGCAUUAACUGACGCUGAGGAGCGAAAGCAUGGGGAGCGAACAGG
Molecule: ribosomal RNA, 253 nt
Filed under: uncultured bacterium
Lineage: Bacteria
Description: partial 16S ribosomal RNA
Rfam family: Bacterial small subunit ribosomal RNA
Source: RNAcentral